UCCCAGGCCCACCAUUUCAUCGAGCGUAUGCGUCUCUCAGGCUUGGCCCGUAGCGUUCGUCUUCUGGUUACGGGGCCAUAGCUCAGCUGGGAGAGCGCGUGCUUUGCAAGCAUGAGGUCGUCGGUUCGAUCCCGUCUGGCUCCACCAGAUGAAGUCGAAGAUCGACGCUGUAUGCUGCAGCCAUCGUGAUCAAUUCGUCCGCGAAACAUCAAUUCGCAUGCAUCAUUCGCAAUCGAGUGUGCCUGCGUGUUUUCUGACAUCGUAAAGAGGAGAUCGAUCCGAGUUGGGUCGCAUGGAAAUUCUAUGCGCAUCCUUCACUAUCUCCAGAUCAUUUCGGCGCUCGCGCCUCCUGCAGAUUAGCUUCUGCAAGAAGUGCGGGUUGUAAAUGAUCUCGUUAGCGAAGCCUGACCGCCUCGCUAUCGGUUCGAUCUUACGAA
Molecule: transfer RNA, 437 nt
Filed under: Bradyrhizobium sp. FG11.10.1-STM3604
Lineage: Bacteria; Pseudomonadati; Pseudomonadota; Alphaproteobacteria; Hyphomicrobiales; Nitrobacteraceae
Description: partial 16S-23S ribosomal RNA intergenic spacer
Rfam family: tRNA (bases 72-144)
Source: RNAcentral